This 504-nucleotide ribosomal RNA is filed under the name uncultured bacterium. RNAcentral describes it as "bacterial SSU rRNA". It matches the Rfam family "Bacterial small subunit ribosomal RNA", at positions 24 to 518 of the family's 1533-position model. The record is from RNAcentral.
UCAGGAUGAACGCUAGCGACAGGCCUAACACAUGCAAGUCGAGGGCAGCACAUGAGUAGCAAUACGAUGGUGGCGACCGGCGCACGGGUGAGUAACACGUAUGCAACCUACCUUCUACCAGGGGAUAACCCGUUGAAAGACGGACUAAUACCCUAUAAUACAGGGGCUCCGCAUGGAGAUAUUUGUUAAAGAUUCAUCAGUAGAAGAUGGGCAUGCGCAUGAUUAGCUAGUUGGCGGGGUAACGGCCCACCAAGGCAUCGAUCAUUAGGGGUUCUGAGAGGAAGGUCCCCCACACUGGUACUGAGACACGGACCAGACUCCUACGGGAGGCAGCAGUGAGGAAUAUUGGUCAAUGGGCGAGAGCCUGAACCAACCAAAAGUCGCGUGAAGGAAGACUGUCCUAUGGAUUGUAAACUUCUUUUGUACGGGAAUAAAGUGGGCUACGUGUAGCCUUUUGUAUGUACCGUACGAAUAAGGAUCGGCUAACUCCGUGCCAGCCGCCGC